RNAcentral lists this long non-coding RNA (726 nucleotides) under Astyanax mexicanus (Mexican tetra). Its description in RNAcentral is "lncRNA (ENSAMXG00005006626.1)". The record is from RNAcentral. Lineage: Eukaryota; Metazoa; Chordata; Actinopteri; Characiformes; Acestrorhamphidae.
AGCCAGUGGCCUGCCUGAAGCUUCAGAGGAGCAUCAUCUGCAGGAAAAGAUGAAGCCUAAAUCUGUCCUGGAUGUGCAUCUGCCACAGAUUGGCCUUUUUGUUGGUCUUGAGACCCUAAAUGAAGGCUGGGGGGGCAGCGGUGUUGGGUAUCAGAGACAAAUCGACACAACAGCUCCAGUGCAGAGCUGUGGACGAGGAGAGAGUGAGGAGGACCUGCCUAAAGGGAAGCAGUCAAAGGAAGUGCACUUUGCCUUCUUACCCAAAAACUAUGUGCCUUUGGAAGAGAACGAGAGUAAACAGAGAGCGAAGGAAGAGAAGAAGGCCAAGAAGAAGGAGAAGUACAAGAAAUACAAAAAGACACUGCAGUUGUAGAUUUUUUUAUGCCUAUACUCAGACGAAGGAACGUGGGGAAAGCUCUGCGCUACAGCUGGAAGUGUCUGAUGUUUGGGCUCCAGAGCUUCACUGUGGGCUACUCCACCCCUGUCACCGCGGCCGCCGCAUACGUCCCAGAAUUCAGAACAGGACGCGCCAAGAGCUGAGGAGAUCAGAGCUCUAUUCUCUUACAGUCCCCACGGGCUGACCUGCUGUGAACGUCUCUGAUGGAGAACAUCAGAUUCCUGUGUUUCAGACUGUGCCUUUACAGCCCUGGACUGGGUGGCACGUGUUCCUGCUCUGGAGAGCCUGGCUCAUGUUCUCACACUGUUAUCUGUACAUAUUGAUAAUGC